ACUCCUACGGGAGGCAGCAGUGGGGAAUAUUGCACAAUGGGCGCAAGCCUGAUGCAGCCAUGCCGCGUGUAUGAAGAAGGCCUUCGGGUUGUAAAGUACUUUCAGCAGUGAGGAAGGUGGUAGUGUUAAUAGCACUAUCAUUUGACGUUAGCUGCAGAAGAAGCACCGGCUAACUCCGUGCCAGCAGCCGCGGUAAUACGGAGGGUGCGAGCGUUAAUCGGAAUUACUGGGCGUAAAGCGCAUGCAGGUGGUUUGUUAAGUCAGAUGUGAAAGCCCGGGGCUUAACCUCGGAAUUGCAUUUGAAACUGGCAGGCUAGAGUCUUGUAGAGGGGGGUAGAAUUUCAGGUGUAGCGGUGAAAUGCGUAGAGAUCUGAAGGAAUACCAGUGGCGAAGGCGGCCCCCUGGACAAAGACUGACGCUCAGAUGCGAAAGCGUGGGGAGCAAACAGGAUUAGAUACCCUGGUA
Molecule: ribosomal RNA, 465 nt
Filed under: uncultured bacterium
Lineage: Bacteria
Description: bacterial SSU rRNA
Rfam family: Bacterial small subunit ribosomal RNA
Source: RNAcentral